Triticum aestivum (bread wheat) is the source of this 364-nucleotide long non-coding RNA. RefSeq lists it as uncharacterized. NCBI's taxonomy places the organism in Eukaryota, Viridiplantae, Streptophyta, Magnoliopsida, Poales, Poaceae. The record is from RefSeq and is a predicted model, not a curated record. The transcript has 3 exons.
CAAAGUCGAAUAUAUGCUCAAGGAAAUAUGGGUGCCUCCUCCAACGCUACCCAUAUCCAUUUGUCAAUGAUGACUCUGCUUGAUGUCGCCGCAUACCAGCAGAAGAUAAAGCUCAACCAUAGAUUGGAAGACCGGGGCUAUAUAGAUUGAUGUCUAAAACCAAUGCAGAUCACCCUACUGAAGAAGGAGAGGAAGUUAGAAAUCAGUUUCAGUUUUACAGGUGCAAAAUCAACUCAUUCCACUGUAAUACUGGACAUCCAGAUGUCCAGGAUGGUUAUUGUACAUGGAGAAUCAGGAUGGAUUAGAAUGGAUUAUUUAUUACCUUGGUGACAACGUCGGGUGGGCGCUGAAUCGUGGACAUGUC